Molecule: unclassified non-coding RNA, 214 nt
Filed under: Hevea brasiliensis (rubber tree)
Lineage: Eukaryota; Viridiplantae; Streptophyta; Magnoliopsida; Malpighiales; Euphorbiaceae
Source: RNAcentral
AGACAUUUGGUGUGAAUUUGCAGCGCCAUCUGCUAUCAAUGGCUUGGCAAUUAGGGGAAACUUCAAACCCUCACGAGUCAUAGUGUCCUGCAGAGAUUCCGAUGCAUCUUCCGAUAUGAAAACCUGCAAAGGAGUUUCGAGAUUCUCGAUUUUCAAUUCGUUGACGAAUUGGAGCAUAGAGACUCGAUUCUGGAGCUUCUCGACGGCAUUUACA